This is a non-coding RNA of Callorhinus ursinus (northern fur seal), 507 nucleotides long. The record is from RefSeq and is a predicted model, not a curated record. NCBI's taxonomy places the organism in Eukaryota, Metazoa, Chordata, Mammalia, Carnivora, Otariidae.
GGAAUCCUCAGAGAAGGAGGGUGAAUAGAAUGCUCUGUUUAAACAGUUUAGCAAGGCCCACACAAGAUAGGAGGAUUUUAGGAGAUAGAAUGAAUUAAGCUGUAAUAUUUCCAGCAUGGCUUGAGUGUAUUAAUCACUUGUUAAUUUUGGAAGCUGCUGAAUCAACACAACCUCCUCCACCUCUCAUUUUCAACUUCAGUAAGACGCUGCGGGCCUUGGUGACAACAGAACUGUCCCCAGAACCGCUGACCCUGCCAACAAUAACAAAUUGCUUCAGUUAGAAAUUCCAUUUUGCUUCAAGCAAUAAAACCCUACGGAAAGACAAAUGUCUAUAUUUUUCUUGGAUCAGAUUUUGCACAGACCGUACCAGGUCGGUGCCGUUGUUCAUGAAGCUACCAAGGACCGCGGCUCCUCUUCCCUUUCAGUUUUCACCAACUUGGUUCAUUUCAGCCAACAAAUGAAAUGAUGCUCAAAUUCUAUGGCUUCUAUAAGCAGGCAACUGAAGGA